GAUGAACGCUGGCGGCGUGCUUAACACAUGCAAGUCGAACGGAAAGGCCCAAGCUUGCUUGGGUACUCGAGUGGCGAACGGGUGAGUAACACGUGGGUGAUCUGCCCUGCACUUCGGGAUAAGCCUGGGAAACUGGGUCUAAUACCGGAUAGGACCACACUCUGGAUGGUGUGGUGGAAAGUUUUUCGGUGUGGGAUGAGCUCGCGGCCUAUCAGCUUGUUGGUGGGGUAAUGGCCUACCAAGGCGUCGACGGGUAGCCGGCCUGAGAGGGUGUACGGCCACAUUGGGACUGAGAUACGGCCCAGACUCCUACGGGAGGCAGCAGUGGGGAAUAUUGCACAAUGGGCGGAAGCCUGAUGCAGCGACGCCGCGUGGGGGAUGACGGCCUUCGGGUUGUAAACUCCUUUCGCUAGGGACGAAGCGUAAGUGACGGUACCUGGAGAAGAAGCACCGGCUAACUACGUG
Molecule: ribosomal RNA, 465 nt
Filed under: uncultured bacterium
Lineage: Bacteria
Description: partial 16S ribosomal RNA
Rfam family: Bacterial small subunit ribosomal RNA
Source: RNAcentral